This is a long non-coding RNA of Vicia villosa (hairy vetch), 396 nucleotides long. RefSeq lists it as uncharacterized. The transcript is spliced from 3 exons. The record is from RefSeq and is a predicted model, not a curated record. NCBI's taxonomy places the organism in Eukaryota, Viridiplantae, Streptophyta, Magnoliopsida, Fabales, Fabaceae.
CUUACACUUUCUCUCUUCAACCUUUUAUGCAUAUAGUUUUUUUUCCACUUUCUCUCAUCACCAUUUUCUCUUUCUUUGAUUGUUAUAUUCUUUCUUCCACUUUCUCUCUUUUCACUAUUUAGUAUGCCGAUGAGUAUGGUGGUGGUGGCGGAAACCGAUUUACGGCGACGAUUAUGGUGGUUGUGGUGAAAAUGGGUUUCCAGCGACGAGUGUCAUUGUGGUCAGAUUCGAAAAGUGGGAGAGACAGGGAUUGAAUGGUUUUCUCUUCAAUACCACCCUGAAGCAUCCCCUGGACCUCAUGAUUCCGACAACGAAUCCGGAGUUUUUGAUCCGCGAGAAGGUCGGUCGAAGUUCAAGGUGCAACCAAGCAUACGACGAUGGAGUUAACAAACUGUA